Molecule: long non-coding RNA, 700 nt
Filed under: Bos indicus x Bos taurus (hybrid cattle)
Lineage: Eukaryota; Metazoa; Chordata; Mammalia; Artiodactyla; Bovidae
Description: lncRNA (ENSBIXG00000029666.1)
Source: RNAcentral
UCUGUAGGUUUAUAGUUCUAUUUCGUGAGUUGUUUCUGUAACUUGUUUUUUUUUUUUUGCUAGUUCUGCUGAAACGAAUGAAUCUCUGAAAUGAUUCUGACAUCUCACCUUUGAACCUGUCUCCCGGAGCAAUUCAAAAUAGCGUGGCAGAGUCUCCACACAGUCCUGAUUCUCCUAUUCAACACACAACCUGUUCUCUGCAGCACCAAAUCAGAGAUGCUUCAAACAAAUAUUGCCUGUUGAAGAACAGAGAAUCAGAAAUUGAUUGUCAUGAUCUGUGCAGCUUUCUUCAAUACAUCAUCCGUCAGCCAGAAGUUUAUUGACUUCUCAAAACCCCUUGAUGAAGACAUCUACAUCUUCGAUCAAAGGACUGGCUUUGAAUUAAAUCAACUCUAGUCUGUCGUGAAACAAAGGUUGCACUGGAUUUAUGGUGAUUACAAAAGGCUGGCUCAGGACAUGGAAGCAACCUAGAUGUCCAUCGGCAGAUGAAUGGAUGAGAAAGCUGUGGUGCACGGGAGGAGCCAGUACGUGGAACUGUCCAAGGUUAGAAACCCAAGGAUCAGAAACACUUCGGGGACUCAGUGGAAGGAAUCUUUCCAAAGACCCAUCCAUCUCACUCUCAAGCCUUGAAGGUCAUCACUCAAUUUGGUGGAAUGUGAAGAGCAUUUUAAUUUUUAACUGAAGACAUUCUCGGGUGUGU